Molecule: ribosomal RNA, 445 nt
Filed under: uncultured bacterium
Lineage: Bacteria
Description: partial 16S ribosomal RNA
Rfam family: Bacterial small subunit ribosomal RNA
Source: RNAcentral
GUGAGGAAUAUUGGUCAAUGGGCGGGAGCCUGAACCAGCCAAGUCGCGUGAAGGAAGAAGGAUCUAUGGUUCGUAAACUUCUUUUGCAGGGGAAUAAAGUGCAGGACGUGUCCUGUUUUGUAUGUACCCUGAGAAUAAGGAUCGGCUAACUCCGUGCCAGCAGCCGCGGUAAUACGGAGGAUCCGAGCGUUAUCCGGAUUUAUUGGGUUUAAAGGGUGCGUAGGUGGUUUGAUAAGUCAGCGGUGAAAGUUUGCAGCUUAACUGUAAAAAUGCCGUUGAAACUGUCGGACUUGAGUGUAAAUGAGGUAGGCGGAAUGCUUGGUGUAGCGGUGAAAUGCAUAGAUAUCACGCAGAACUCCGAUUGCGAAGGCAGCUUACUAAGCUACAACUGACACUGAAGCACGAAAGCGUGGGGAUCAAACAGGAUUAGAUACCCGGGUAGUCC